Mastigocoleus testarum BC008 is the source of this 37-nucleotide non-coding RNA. The record is from Rfam. Lineage: Bacteria; Bacillati; Cyanobacteriota; Cyanophyceae; Nostocales; Hapalosiphonaceae.
AUUGCAAUUAACAUUAAUCCCUAUUAGGGAUUGAAAA